CGGGGCCCACAGUGCCGGCGAGCCGGGCGAAUGCAGCCAGCGCGGCAACCAGACAAAGCACACAGACAUCGGGCAUUCUACCGAUUAAGCUGGUCACAAAGGGACAGUAUGUAAGACAACAAACUGCACCAAGGACAGUUCUCAUGUGGUGACUGCUCCCAAAACUCCGGGUUUGGGAAUUUGAGGGUUCUGCUCCACUGGUCGCAUCUCCUGCUGGCAUCAAUCCUAUGGCCACAGGACGCUGCAGCUGUUAGCACACCACUCCACUCGGUUACGGAUGAAGGACGCCUGCUUGGUUUCAAAGUCUGUGACAAACAUCUCAAAGGAUAAGGGUGGAAAAAAUCCCUUAAUGAACAGCAAAGAGGAAGAAAUGAAGGAGAAAAGAAAUGGUCGAGAAAGGGCAAGAGGUGAGCUGAUGACAGAACAGAGGAAAGUUUAACCCUGCUGGGCUUGGGAGAGCCCGAUUGUCCUGCGGAGACGUUUGCUGCCGGAUACUCGAUGGUCGGUUGCGUCGUGUGUCUGGCGACACUCUCGAUGGAGGACAAUGAAUGACAUCUACCAAUUUGGAACCACGAUAACAGAGUUUGGGCUGAUUGGAGCUGGCUUGGACCUGGCUUAUCGAAGAACAAGAAGUGGCUACAGCUGUUCAAAAUCCCAUAAGGCUGGCCGACAUGAUAGACGAUUGGCAGGGCUGUGAGUACUCAGACUGUGUUUUGAACGCAAUAUGGAUAACAUCUUGGAGAAGAACAACGGGAAUUGAGAUAAUUGGUGACCAGUGAUGGACAUUAGACCAACUGUAAAAAUUGGAUGCAGUUGUUCGCACUAAACCCAAACAUUCACCAUCUUCACUCAUGCAGCCCCCCUGGCGCCAGCUGAAGGCCUGCCAAGGUCGAAGCUGACUGGAACAACAAAUUCUUCCCAUGAUAACAGGAUUGUUGUCAGAACUCUUUGUACCUCCUUCAAGGUCACCUGGGUCCACUGGAAACUGUUGACCUUCGCUUAACCGGGCGUGGUGACCCUUUCUCUCAACUGAACAUGGGAUACACACACACACAUGCACACGCACAGAACAUGUACACUGAUACUGAUAUGCCCUCACUAUCAUCCUCCCUCCCCCGAAUCCAACGCCUCUUCCCUUGCUUACCUCCCAUCCGAUGUGGACACCUGAUCAGCGGGAGGCGCAAUCAAAGAUUGCAGCGGACCAAGAUCAGCUGUACACACUGGAAUACUCUCCCAUGUUGCUUGUCUGUGUUUUAUUGUGUUAUGGUGUGUUGAUAUCUGUGCAUUCCUGUAUUAUCCUUUUGUGUUACACAUUUCGAUGUUUUUUUUCCCUUGUUACCUAGCCUGACCUGUAUCCUCAAUGUGAUGUUUGUGUAUUGUAUGUAUGGUCGGCAAGGUCUGUCAUCUCGGUUGUGGGCAACUGCAACUGAUAAAUAAAGGCUAUCUCAUCUCAUCUCAUAUCUUUUGAGCAAUGACAUCUGAAUUCUGAAAACUGCUUCCAAGAACAGACUGAUGGUUUUUAUUGGUCAUCUUUAUAACGCCAAGUUAAAAAGGAACAUGAAUAAAAGUGUGAAGAAAUGAGAGAAAUUUGGUUGCCAGCAAGAGGCAUAGAUUCAAAAUACAUAGAUAAAUAAUUUUAUUGUGACUCAGUGCAUGCACCUUUUUAAAACACCUCUUUGCCUCUGUGUUUCAGGCAUGCUCAUUUACUCUCCAUGCACUAAUGUCAUCGAGUGGUGUGGAGAUUGGAGGAGGGUGACAUAGAAGGAGAGGAAGUUUAGGCAGUGCCAUUUAUAAAGCACGACCAUUUAUAAAGCAUGGCCCUCUGCCCGUAUCAUAAACUGCAUAUUUUGGUGGGCGAUGGCAGAAAAGCAGCUGCACUACAGGAGAGAUGAAGACAGGAUAAAAAGUCAAUCAUGCAAGUCUAUUUUUUCUGUUCCAGAGUUCAUUUUUCACCCAUCGUGAAUUAUUUUGAGCAGUGCAA
Molecule: long non-coding RNA, 1981 nt
Organism: Pelmatolapia mariae (spotted tilapia)
Lineage: Eukaryota; Metazoa; Chordata; Actinopteri; Cichliformes; Cichlidae
Exons: 4
Source: RefSeq, a predicted model, not a curated record